RNAcentral lists this ribosomal RNA (300 nucleotides) under uncultured archaeon. RNAcentral's name for it is "bacterial SSU rRNA". The stretch from base 52 to 300 matches the Rfam family "Bacterial small subunit ribosomal RNA", at positions 547 to 795 of the family's 1533-position model. The record is from RNAcentral.
GCUACCUAGGGUCCAGGAGGGGGGGGAGUACGGCGGGGGUAAGCGUUGGCCGGAAGCAGUGGGCGUAAAGCGCGCGUGGGCGGCCCGGUAAGUCCGCGGUGAAAGUCCAGGGCUCAACCCUGGAAAGCCGGUGGAUACUGUCGGGCUAGAGUCCGGAAGAGGCGAGUGGAAUUCCUGGUGUAGCGGUGGAAUGCGCAGAGAUCAGGAGGAACACCGAUGGCGAAGGCAGCUCGCUGGGACGGUACUGACGCUGAGGCGCGAAAGCGUGGGGAGCGAACAGGAUUAGAUACCCCGGUAGUC